Coturnix japonica (Japanese quail) is the source of this 2094-nucleotide long non-coding RNA. RefSeq lists it as uncharacterized. NCBI's taxonomy places the organism in Eukaryota, Metazoa, Chordata, Aves, Galliformes, Phasianidae. The record is from RefSeq and is a predicted model, not a curated record.
GGCAAAUGCUUGCAGCCGCGGUGCCUCGGUUGGACCAGCAGUUCCCCCAGCCUCCCCCAUGGGUACACGGAGCUGCUCGGCUGGAACAGAGGUUUCGCAAGAAAAUACACAGUUUGACAGACUUUCAGAUGAUAUUAAAGAAGGCAAACUCUGAUUGAGAGCCAAAGGAAACAGUUUAAUUGAGACGGGCAGGAGCUAUUGGACCCUGACCUUCUGUUCUGCAGAGCCAACCAGAAUCAGCCUUCCUCUGAUUUACACGAGAUGGAUGAGACAGGAAUAUCUCCAAGAGCUUUAUCACUCCUCUCUGUCAGCGGCUGCCGCUAAGUCAACAGUGCGAUGGUGUGUAUCUGGACGGCGAAGCACUGAGGUUGCUCACAUCGUUCUGUGCUCCCGCUGAAACCAAUAAGCCAUCCUCCACUGCCUCUGCCCGCUCCCCAGCCAUGCCCCGUGGUUACAUCAAAUUAAAUCUUACCCCCAGACUCUCACCAGCAGACUUCCAGCACUGCAGCAUAUCCCCUGCCCAUUGAGUGCAAGGCGGUGGGGGGCCAGCGUGAGGUGCACAGCUCAGCAUCAUCUACCCAAGGGGCACAGCACCCCACCAAGCACAAGAACCAGUCUCUUGGCAUGGGCUGUUCUGGGACAGGCACUGCUCAGGCUCCACAUCCUGCAGCAUCAAAGCAUCCCACCAUCCACUCUGCUAUGUGCUGUGCCUCCCCAGUUUUGUUUAACAGCUCCAUCUCCAUAGCGGUACCCAGAGAUGUGUGCAGCAAGGGUUGCUCUAUCGUCCCUGUGCAGCACUGCACGCCUGUUGCAUUACAUCCAUAGCCCCAUGUUGCACGCCCUGUUUCACUUAUCCCCUUACUACCACUCCUUUUUCCUCCUCACCCACACCUGCAGAGCUCCACAAGUUGUUCUGGAGCCCAUUUGUAGGCUGAGCAUUGAGUGCUGCUGCAGUGCAGGGCCCUGAGGGUCCUCAAGUUGGGGGGUGGCCACCAGCCAUGUCCCAGUCCCCCUUGGUGACAAUGGCCUCAGCAGUGCCUGUCCACAUUUCCCAGCCUGGGAGAAGAACUGCUGUGUAAAAGAACCUCCUGGGGAGGCCACAGGAGGAAGCAGGACAGCAUGAGCAAAGUGAGUGCUGUGAUCUGGGCUGGCAGAAGAAGGGACAGGAAGAAAGUAGCAGGAGAGUAUCAGGGCAGGGAAGAGGUAAGACACUUAUUCCAGUCUUGGUCGAGAAAUUCAGAGCCCAUUCCCUGACAGCAGAGAUACAUAAACAGAUAUGGAUGACUCCUUCCUGAGAAGGAGCCCCUCUUUUCUAGGGCCUGCACACUGGGGCCCUUCUGGAAGCAGCCCAUGGCAGAGCCAUACGGUGCUGCCAUCCCACUGGUGCUGGCAGUGCUGCCCGUGCUGUGCCGUGGGCAUGCAGUGCCUGCAGCACCGCGCUCUGCCAGGCUCAGUGCCUGCUCCUGGCACCAACGUCUGGCACCAUUCCUUGCAAGUGGGCACAAAUUCAUCCCAAAACACAAACACAGGGGGAGGCAGCAGUCAUCACUUGUGUGGGCACUGAGAGAUUCCUGCAGAGAGAGGGACUUCACCACGACCGGGAGAAUUUCUGCUCAAAAUUAAAAUGGUCUUUUUAAAGCAGAUUAAAACUCAUUAUGAAAGCAGCCGCCAGCAGCUGUGAUCUCACAGCAAAGACUUUCCUGAUGCCUUUAGAAAUUGCCCCGUUACCACUGUAACACCAGCAUGAUUCUGCCUCUUUCUUUCAAGCUUGCAAGAUAUUUAUAUUUCAUAUAAUUCUACAGAGCUCAACUGUGAAUUGCUACAGUGUUCUUUUUCUGCACAUUAAUGGUAUGUGUGUGUCCAGCACUAACCCUUAUUGCCAUGUAAUCUGUACGACGUAAUUAACCAUGUAGAAACCAUAACACAUUGCAUUUGGAAGGGUUACAUCCAGUUAAUUUAAUUGACUAAUAACAUGUUUUCAUUUAGCAGCACGUACUGUAUUUCCAGUGAUUGAAUUAAUGUCAUGUUAACGGCUGCUUUUUGCAACAACAUUUGGCAUAAAUUGCAUUAAAAAUUGAUGUUCGUACAAAUGUA